RNAcentral lists this ribosomal RNA (459 nucleotides) under uncultured bacterium. RNAcentral's name for it is "partial 16S ribosomal RNA". It matches the Rfam family "Bacterial small subunit ribosomal RNA", at positions 338 to 795 of the family's 1533-position model. The record is from RNAcentral.
CCUACGGGUGGCAGCAGUGAGGAAUAUUGGUCAAUGGGCGAAAGCCUGAACCAGCCAAGUCGCGUGAGGGACGACGGUCCUAUGGAUUGUAAACCUCUUUUGUCGGGGAACAAAGGCGCCCACGGGUGGGCGGAUGAGUGUGCCCGAAGAAAAAGCAUCGGCUAACUCCGUGCCAGCGGCCGCGGUAAUACGGAGGAUGCAAGCGUUAUCCGGAUUUAUUGGGUUUAAAGGGUGCGUAGGCGGACAGUCAAGUCAGAGGUAAAAAUGCGGUGCCAAACGCCGUACAGCCGUUGAAACUGGGAGUCUUGAGUGGGCGAGAAGUAUGCGGAAUGCGUGGUGUAGCGGUGAAAUGCAUAGAUAUCACGAAGAACUCCGAUGGCGAAGGCAGCAUACCGGCGCCCUACUGACGCUGAGGCACGAAAGCGUGGGUAUCGAACAGGAUUAGAUACCCGAGUAGUC